Molecule: ribosomal RNA, 247 nt
Filed under: uncultured bacterium
Lineage: Bacteria
Description: partial 16S ribosomal RNA
Rfam family: Bacterial small subunit ribosomal RNA
Source: RNAcentral
GAGUAACGCGUGGGUAACCUGCCUUAUACAGGGGGAUAACAGUCAGAAAUGGCUGCUAAUACCGCAUAAGCGCACAGAGCUGCAUGGCUCAGUGUGAAAAACUCCGGUGGUAUAAGAUGGACCCGCGUUGGAUUAGCUAGUUGGUGGGGUAACGGCCCACCAAGGCGACGAUCCAUAGCCGGCCUGAGAGGGUGAACGGCCACAUUGGGACUGAGACACGGCCCAGACUCCUACGGGAGGCAGCAUG